Non-coding RNA from Paramuricea clavata, 773 nucleotides. The record is from the annotation of a GenBank genome assembly. Lineage: Eukaryota; Metazoa; Cnidaria; Anthozoa; Malacalcyonacea; Plexauridae.
AGCGCGGCUGUGACGACAACGCCAACGAUAGAUUGUGUCUAGAUGGAGCUAAAACUUGCGAGAGGAAGACUAAAGAGACGAACCUGGAGUCAUGUGUUGGAAUAUGCUGUAGCAGCGAUAAUUGCAACAACUACACUCCCAACAGUGCCCCAGGUGUCAUGGCCGUGAAAUUUAUUCUCUGUUUCAUGGUCAUUGCGGGAUAUUUCUUAGCAUAACUGUCUGAAUUCUUGUUGUAUUUGAAUAACAUUAACUUUAGUUUAGUGCUGCUCAACAGCUAGCGUAGUACAAUAAUAUACGGCAUGUAACUAAACAUAUAGUUGUAGCUCGCACAAGGAAUAGUUUUCCUUUCUUAAUCGGUUACCUGCAUUAAGUUUCACUGUAUCUUGUAAUACUUUAUUUUGGUUCGUUAGGAGCAACUCAUUUUAACUUAAUUUUGUAAAACUGUUAGUUUCGUUUUUGAACGUUUCAUAGUAGUAUUAUAGUUUCCACAAAAAAAUAGCUCCUAUUCGUCUUCACUUCAGUUGCAUUUUGUAAAUCUUUAGUUCAGUUCAAAUUUUUACUCUCCCCCCUCCCUGUAUCAUGCCCUCCGGCAAAAUGUGGGAUUUCACAAAGCAUUACCUAUAAAACGAAAGUCCUAAGCUGUUCAACACUGUAGAGGGGGGACGGUAUUUGCUAUUUGUAGAAAAGCUUCUCUAGGGAGAACAGUUUAGAACUGAGUAGAGAGCUAGGCAGUAUAAAUAAAAUUUGUUUAGUUUGGCAUUCCAUUUUCCAAG